This 1187-nucleotide long non-coding RNA is filed under the name Homo sapiens (human). Its description in RNAcentral is "HSALNT0317455". The record is from RNAcentral. Lineage: Eukaryota; Metazoa; Chordata; Mammalia; Primates; Hominidae.
ACAAAGCCGACCUCCUCGCCCCGCCCCCUCCGUCCCGCCCGGGCUGCUCGCCCCGCCCCCGCGCGGCGCUGGGAGGCGGGAGCUGUCUCUGAGAACCUGCGGGAGAGCGCCCGGGCUUGCUGCUUCCCGGACCCGCGCGUCUCUCGAGCACCCUCGUCCCACCACCUUGUGAGGCCGUAGUGUUAUUUUUAUUUUUUAGAUCAGCAGACUGAGACUCGAGGUGACGUCACUCCGCAGAGAGGUUAGAGCACAGCAGACUGAGCCACCCAGAACUGGCCCCUCCGGUGGACCAGCCCCUGCGGAUUCACAGACCACUGGUCCUGGAAGGGACCUUGUCAAGCAGGCCCAUAAGGUAAUCCCUCCCCGGAAAGAGAAGAUCACAGAUUUUGUCAUAUUAAAUACAUUGUAGAAAUUCAUGGUAGCAGGGGCAAGAUCAUUUAAACAAAACAGAAAGUUUCAGAGAGAGAAAAAGCCAAGGACAAAGAUUAAUCAUUUUUCUGCUUAAAAAAAAUGGCUUUGAUUUGCAACCAUGGAAUGCUCCACUGUUUCUCUUCUCUUCAAAGACAUCUACUGAAAGGAUUCCUUAACCUUACCAAGUGGCCAAAAUACUUUUCUGAGAAGAGUCACAGAGCAUAGGCCCCCCUAGGGUACACAGAGAUUUCAUUAGUCCCUAGAUGUUUCCUGAUCCUUUUAAAAACUGGUUAAAUUCAGAGACUCUAGGCAAUUACUUCUUUCAGAACCUGUGAGGCAAAAACGAAAGAAGAAGGCAGGACACGCAGUGUAACAAACCUUGGAAUGGACUUCGCCAGACUUCAUCAGAAGAAAGCAGUGCAAGAGGGGACUGCAGAGGAAAGCUGGGGCUUGGGAAACCAGCAGCAGGGGCCACGUGGGCAGGUGGUUUCUGUGUGAACCUCUGAUCUGUGCAACAUAAACAGGAAAUGUUGAAGGCUUCCAGUGCUCUUUUUUGAUGUCGAGAACAUUCUACGGCACAAAAGAGUUUGCCUCUCACUGUUUCUCAUAUAUGGAGGUUUUCUAAUCAGCAUCCUGAACAGAAUUGAAUUAAAAAUAAAAACCAAAGUAAAACUAGCUUUAUCUCUAGAUUUUAAAAUUUUCAUUUUUUUUAGGGUGGCACCUAUACUGUUACCUUGUAGGUACCAACUAGAAUAUUCUUUCUAACUGCCUGUCAU